ACAGAGGGUGCGAGCGUUAAUCGGAAUUACUGGGCGUAAAGCGUGCGUAGGCGGUUUCGUAAGUCGGAUGUGAAAGCCCCGGGCUCAACCUGGGAAUUGCAUUCGAGACUGCGAGGCUCGAGUGCGGAAGAGGGAAGUGGAAUUUCCGGUGUAGCGGUGAAAUGCGUAGAUAUCGGAAGGAACAUCAGUGGCGAAAGCGGCACCCUGGCAUUGGCCUGACGCUGAGGUGCGAAAGCGUGGGGAGCAAACGG
This 251-nucleotide ribosomal RNA is filed under the name uncultured prokaryote. RNAcentral describes it as "partial 16S ribosomal RNA". It matches the Rfam family "Bacterial small subunit ribosomal RNA", at positions 525 to 775 of the family's 1533-position model. The record is from RNAcentral.